GAUCCUGGCUCAGGAUGAACGCUAGCGACAGGCCUAACACAUGCAAGUCGAGGGGCAGCGGGGAGGUAGCAAUACCUUUGCCGGCGACCGGCGCACGGGUGAGUAACACGUAUGCAAUCCACCUGUAACAGGGGGAUAACCCGGGAGAAAUCCGGACUAAUACCCCAUAAUAUGGGCGCUCCGCAUGGAGAGUUCAUUAAAGAGAGCAAUUUUGGUUACAGACGAGCAUGCGCUCCAUUAG
Molecule: ribosomal RNA, 241 nt
Filed under: uncultured bacterium
Lineage: Bacteria
Description: partial 16S ribosomal RNA
Rfam family: Bacterial small subunit ribosomal RNA
Source: RNAcentral